RNAcentral lists this ribosomal RNA (292 nucleotides) under uncultured bacterium. RNAcentral describes it as "partial 16S ribosomal RNA". It matches the Rfam family "Bacterial small subunit ribosomal RNA", at positions 505 to 796 of the family's 1533-position model. The record is from RNAcentral.
GUGCCAGCCGCCGCGGUAAAACGUAGGAGACAAGCGUUAUCCGGAGUUACUGGGCGUAAAGGGCGUGCAGGUGGUGCGGUAAGGCUGUUGUGAAAGCGCCUGGCUUAACCGGGCGAGGCCAAUGGCGACUGCCGGACUGGAGGACGGCUGAGGGGUGUGGAAUUCCGGGUGUAGUGGUGAAAUGCGUAGAGAUCCGGAGGAACACCAGAGGCGAAGGCGGCACCCUAAGCCGUACCUGACACUGAGACGCGACAGCACGGGGAGCAAACGGGAUUAGAAACCCCAGUAGUCC